GCUCUCUGGCCGUUCCCAGCGGCAGCGGGGCAAGGAUGAAGGACCGGACCGGGGAGCUGCGCGCUGCCAAGGACAGUGAUGAUGAUGAUGAAGUCACCGUCAGCGUGGACCGGGAUCGUUUCAUGGAUGAGUUCUUUGAGCAGGUGGAAGAAAUUCGAGGCUUCAUUGAUAAAAUCUCGGAGAAUGUGGAAGAAGUGAAAAGGAAGCACAGUGCCAUUCUGGCUUCCCCCAACCCUGAUGAAAAAACGAAAGAGGAGCUGGAGGAGCUGAUGUCUGACAUCAAGAAGACGGCGAACAAAGUGCGCUCCAAACUAAAGAGCAUUGAGCAGAGCAUCGAACAAGAGGAGGGACUGAACAGGUCAUCGGCCGACCUGCGGAUAAGGAAAACUCAGCACUCCACGCUGUCCCGCAAGUUCGUGGAGGUGAUGUCGGAGUACAACGCCACGCAGACCGACUACCGGGAGCGCUGCAAGGGCAGGAUCCAGAGGCAGCUGGAGAUCACUGGCAGGACCACCACCAGCGAGGAGCUGGAGGACAUGCUGGAGAGCGGCAACCCGGCCAUCUUCUCCUCUGGGAUCAUCAUGGAUUCCAACAUCACCAAGCAGGCUCUGAACGAGAUUGAGACACGGCACAGUGAGAUCAUCAAGCUGGAGAACAGCAUCCGAGAGCUGCACGACAUGUUCAUGGACAUGGCCAUGCUGGUGGAGAGCCAGGGCUGCCGGGCAGGGCAGCGUUCCCCCGGAGGCAGGGAGCCGCCGAGCAGGAGGGCGCUCAGGUCUGCGCGGGCGCGCGGGCUGUGUCCCCCUGCAGGGAGAGAUGAUUGACCGCAUCGAGUACAACGUGGAGCACUCGGUGGACUACGUGGAGAGGGCUGUGUCCGACACCAAAAAGGCCGUGAAGUACCAGAGCAAAGCCAGACGGAAGAAGAUCAUGAUCAUAAUCUGCUGUGUGAUCCUGGGCAUCGUCAUCGCCUCCACCUUCGGCGGCAUUUUCGGCUAGCCUCCCCCCCAGGACUGUCUGUGUGCGAUGGAUGGAGCCGCGCGUGCCAUGGGGCUGCAGCCACCCGGAGCGACCCGCGCAGCCCCGGAGCCUCCCAGCAGCAUUUCAGUUUAAUGCAUGGUUGUUUGUGACGCUGUGUGUGCGGUGCGGUGCGUCUGUGUGGAGGGAGCUCCGGCCCCGGGGCGGGCGGGGGGCCGGCCCUGGUGAUGGCUGCAAGGGGCACCCCGGCGGGGAACCCGAGCUCUCAUCACUGCUCCAGGCUGGGGGGCUGGCUGGGACCGGCUGGGUGGGGGACAGGAGUGCCCGUGGGCGCUGCUGCUGCUCAUCCUGUGAUGGGCAGUGUGUGUUAGUGACAGGAGGAGGGAGGGAGAGAGGGAUGAUGGGGGUCAGGGGUCCUCGGGAGUGCCCAGUCCACCUCCCCAGCUUGCCCAUCACCUCCAACUCUCAUGUCUGUCGGCCGCAUCUGUGCUUGCAAACACCUUCCCUCGGGCUGCUUCUCUCCGGGGCCCUUCCCCAGGGGUGUGCUCUGCCCAGCCCUGCCUGGCCAGUGACUGUCUGGCUCUGGGGCUCCAUCCCUGCCACUCCUCCCCUCCCUACAUGAGCCCUCACCCCAGUAGGGUGCCAAAGGCUGGUGGGUGCCUGAUGGAGCGGUGUGGAAUAAGGAGCUGCUGCUUGGGGCCAUCACAGUAGCCUGGGGACAGGAAUAGGGCACGUGGGGGCCAGUGAAUUUCCCUGGCUGCUCAUCCUGCAGCACAGCCUCAGGCAGUGCUCUCAGCCCUGGCACACGGUGCCCUGGCUCCUCUUGCACACAGGCUGGACUCUGCCUGCCGGGGUUUGGGGCUGUGGCUGAUGUCCACAGCCCCUGGCAGCACUCACCUGCAAGCAGGGCCGCUCCAGCCUUGCUUUUUCAUACCCAUGGCUGGGGGUUAGAAGCAGUUGGGCUCUCUCCUGUUGUGGUGCCAGGAGCAGCCCUUGCUGCAUCCAGCCCCCUGCCAGCCAGGAGCAGCAGCCUCCCUCCUCCUGUAUCCAGUCAGGCUCUGAACAGGCCAGUGCCUGCCUGCCUGCCUGUUUGCCACCUCCUGGCACUGCUGCUCCUGGCACUGUGCCCUCCUACCCAGCCAUCCAGUGAGGCACCUGCUCUCAGUGGGGAGCUGUGGGACAGCCUGGGUGCCCUGUGCCCUCUGCCGUGCCCAUGACACAGAUGCAGCUGCUGUAGGGGUCUCACUGGCAGCUCAGGGGGGUCCAGUUCUGCCACGGCCUGUUUCCCUCAGGCUAGGGACAGGGCUCUGCCCUCACCUUCCUCUGGAGACCCCAGGGCUCUGGCUGGCCUGUGCACAUGCCAAAGCACCCCCAGAGGAGUCCCAAGUCACUGCCACUCUGGGACAGGGGCUGGCUGUCAGGUGCUGGUAGCAGAAAAGGGACACUUGAUUGCAGCCAGUAUUCCAGCCUCGGGCUGCGUUACCUCCCAGCUCCCACCAGCACCAGGGCAAGGCUGCUCCACAAGCUGGCAGGGUGCUGUGGCUCAGGCACUGGCUGUGUGUGGUGCCCUCUGGGUGCAGGGGAGAGGCAGAGGCUGCAGCCACAGGGUGCUGCCUGCCCCAGGGCCUGCCCUGACACAGCUCUGCCACUGUCACCCGAGGUCCCCCCCCACAGCCCCUUGCUGCAUGCAGCUGUCUUGGGAAGUGGGUCCAGCCUGGUUCCCCACACUGCUCAGUCCAAGCCCCUCGGGGUGCAGCCAUGGGAACACCCCAAACCAGAGCCCCCUUCUUUCACAGUCCCACAGCAUGGAUGUGAGCUCCAGCACUGCAGCCUGCAGGCACUGAAGGGCUUGGGGCACCAGGACCAUGCAGGCAGGGCUAGGAGGCAGGCAAGGGCAGGGUCUCUGCUCCAGGGGGACACGUCUGGCUGCAGGAAAAGGGAGUGGCCAUGCUUCUGUCCCUCAGCAACUCCCUGCCACUGCCAUUUAUGCUUACUCUGCCAGGCCAGCAAGAGCCCCAGGGCCCCUCCAGGAAGCAAUAACACUGGGCAGGCAGGAAAACCCUCCUCCCAGGCUGCUGCCCUGCAGCCAUGCUCCUGCCCUGCAGCCAUGCCAACUGCUAGCACAAGGUGACUUUUUUUUCUUCCAGGCAGCGGCUUUAGUGGCACAAGCUCACCUGACAUCAGGGCUGUGGCACCCCUAUCAAGGCACAAGGCCAGGAACUGCCUCAAGGGGGCUUCUUGGCCCUUGCUCCUUGUUGGCACCACCACUGCCAGCAGCCCCCACAGCAGCAGGAGUCAGACGGGGCCAGUCAGGGCCGCUGGCACUUUGCUGGGAUCCUGUGGGCAGCAGCAGUGCUGGGCUCCAGAGGCAGGGAGACGAGGAGCAGGCUGCCACUGCUGCCCCACAGGCAGGCUCACACUGUCCUCGCUGUGAGGGGAGGGUGUUUUGGUGCAAUAAUUACCCCUGCACUACGGGAAGCCCCAUUGAGUUCCUUUUCACCUACCUGUUGUUGCAUGUACAGACCAAAUCACCAAGUGUGGUUGUGCUUUGGGAAGACGUUUCACCUUUUCUUUCCAGCCCCCAACCUGCACCCGCUUGUCCUUUGGGUUCCACCACCUCUGUUCCAGGUGCCACCUGCCCUCCCCAUGCCGGGAGCGUGUUGAUGCAGUAUUCCAUGAGCAGUGUGGGGCACGCACAGCUUGCACUCGAACUGGGGAUUGGGUUUUUUUUGGGUUUUUUUUUUUGUAAUUAAUGUACUUGAAGGCUUUCCGAGCCCCCCGUGGAGUUCUACUGUUGCUGUACUGUGAGCUAAGUGUCCUUGUUUUCUAUGUGGAUCUUGACCCUGGCUUGCUCUGUCUCACUGGGCUGGAUGACACUGUAUGUUGCCUCUCUUCUCCUUCCCUCUUUCCCUUCCUGCUAGCAUUCCUUUCUUCUCCCAAGGCUUUGGGUGCAAAACAGCUUCCCAUUUUGUGGAAUUUUUAUGUAGAAUAAACAUUUGUAACUGUAAA
Haemorhous mexicanus (house finch) is the source of this 3987-nucleotide RNA transcript. It is a transcript of the gene named syntaxin 1A, with no coding region annotated. The record is from RefSeq and is a predicted model, not a curated record. NCBI's taxonomy places the organism in Eukaryota, Metazoa, Chordata, Aves, Passeriformes, Fringillidae. The transcript has 10 exons.